GACGAACGCUGGCGGCGUGCUUAACACAUGCAAGUCGAACGGAAAGGCCCUGCUUUUGUGGGGUGCUCGAGUGGCGAACGGGUGAGUAACACGUGAGUAACCUGCCCUUGACUUUGGGAUAACUUCAGGAAACUGGGGCUAAUACCGGAUAGGAGCUCCUGCUGCAUGGUGGGGGUUGGAAAGUUUCGGCGGUUGGGGAUGGACGCGCGGCUUAUCAGCUUGUUGGUGGGGUAGUGGCUUACCAAGGCUUUGACGGGUAGCCGGCCUGAGAGGGUGACCGGCCACAUUGGGACUGAGAUACGGCCCAGACUCCUACGGGAGGCAGCAGUGGGGAAUAUUGCGCAAUGGGCGGGCGCCUGAUGCGGCAACGCCGCGUGCGGGAUGACGGCCUUCGGGUUGUAAACCGCUUUCGCCUGUGACGAAGCGUGAGUGACGGUAAUGGGUAAAGAAGCACCGGCUAACUACGUG
Molecule: ribosomal RNA, 468 nt
Filed under: uncultured bacterium
Lineage: Bacteria
Description: partial 16S ribosomal RNA
Rfam family: Bacterial small subunit ribosomal RNA
Source: RNAcentral